GGGGAUGUAGCUUAGAUGGUAGAGUGUUCACUUAGCAUGCGAGAAGUACGAGGAUCAAUACCUUGCAUCUCUA
Molecule: transfer RNA, 73 nt
Filed under: Nelumbo nucifera (sacred lotus)
Lineage: Eukaryota; Viridiplantae; Streptophyta; Magnoliopsida; Proteales; Nelumbonaceae
Rfam family: tRNA
About the family: Transfer RNA (tRNA) molecules are approximately 80 nucleotides in length.
Source: Rfam by way of RNAcentral